RNAcentral lists this long non-coding RNA (5609 nucleotides) under Mytilus galloprovincialis (Mediterranean mussel). Lineage: Eukaryota; Metazoa; Mollusca; Bivalvia; Mytilida; Mytilidae. The record is from RNAcentral.
ACAAUGUGUAUAAGAUAAUGUGGGUUUUUUUUCACAAUGUGUAUAAUAUAAUGUUAAUUUUUCACAAUGUUUAUUAAAUACUAAUUCAGCAUAUAAUUACAGCAAAAAACUAUAUGGUUUUCAAAUUUUCUUUAUAAAACCGUUUUUUAAAACUUAAAAACAUUCUCAGAUGCAAAACACAUUACCAAAAAUAGCUUUUUACUAAUGUAACUGUCUCUAUUAGAUUUAAUGUCUACCAUUCUGAAUUCCAAAUUUUAAUUAUAAAAGUAAACAAAUCAAAUAGUUUAAACCUGUCAUUAGUUUAAUUGAAUAUUUAAUUUUACACUUUGCAAAACACUUUGAAGUAUAAAAAAAAGGACACAGCUCAUUCAGAUAUAUUAAAAAAAAAAGUGCAAUCUAUAUAUAUUUUCCAACUACCUUCAUGACCUUAUACCUUGUCAAUUCUGGUUGCAUUCAAUGUAGUUAAAUAUACACUUAAGUGAGUGUAAGAAUUCUACAAAACAAAUCUCUGCAAACUGUAGAGGGAUACAUUUUUCUCCAUUAUAGCAUGUCAAAUAAAUAUAGUUUUGAAUUGUGAACAAUUUCUUUUUGGAGAUCAAGUGAUAUAUUAUUUCUCACUUGUUUGAAAAAUAACCAGUUUUUCAUAUGGAAACAGUUAUUUUGAUCAUUUUUUUCUUAAAUUCUCCAUGGAUUUUCUUUUGUGACAGAUAUUUCUUAUGUACUUAAGGAAGAGUGUUUAUAAUAAUUUUCAAUAAUUAGAGAAUAAUAUGGCGGUGGAUUUUUUAAUUUUCCUCUCUAAAUAUUUAAAAAUGAUUAUAUAUGUAUUUAUGCUGUAGUAUAGUGCUGCUUUUGGGUUUAAGCAUAUACAGAUUUAGUUAAAUGAAGUUAUAAAAUUGUAGUAAACUAGAAAACUAAAACAGAUUAUGUUAAAGUAGCUUAUAUUAAGGUGGUACCCAACACUUUAACUAAAAUUAAUUUGGCUCGUUUAAUUUUCUUAAAAUUUUGACAAAGUAUUUACUUUGACCUUUUUACAAAAAUAUAAAAAUUUCAAAAAAUUUGAACCAACCGUUUUAUCAGAAAAAUUACACUGGUUAUAUAGCAGUUUGACAAACACUUAUUUUGAUCAUUGAAAAGCUUAAUAUUCCCUUAACAACACAACAUAAUUAAAACGUUUAGCUGAUUUUACAGAGUUAUCUCCCUGUAGUGUUAGGUACCACCUUAACUACUGUAAAUUCUGAAAUUAUUGUGAUAAUCCCAAUAAUGCAACUACUUAAGUUUCACAAAAAUAACAACUCGUAUUCUGAUAUCAAAUACAUGUUUCUUUAUAAAACUUUUUGGAAAAUCACAAUAAUUAAACUCACAAUUUGGUUUAUUUUUUAAAAAAACUACAAUAAUGAAUGCAAACAAUAAUUUCUGAAUUCACAGUGAUUAAGAUUACUUUUUUGUUACAUUUUCAUUUGUUCAUGUACUUUAAUAAGCAGCUCAUAUCAUGGCCCUGUAAACAUUUUUCCCCUGAUACUCACUUAGUUAUCUGAACUAUUUUGCUGUUGAUUAUACUUGAGGUUACAGAGUGAUUAAGAGACAAGAAUAUCAGAGUCCAAAGCCUCUACUAGAUAGCUAGGUGAAAAAUAAAAUCAGGAUGAUUUUGUACAUGCAUUCAGACUUGCUUUCCAGAUAGCAAACUCGCUCAUGAUUUAUGUUUUUGUUAAUACAUUGAAAAUGUAAAUAAAAAAUAUAUAAAUUAUCAAACAGCUCUUACAUGCAUAUAUUUGUCUUAUUGAAAAAUGAAGACAAAAUUUAAAAAAAUUGUGACAUGGAUGAAGAGUCUCAUUGGCACUCAUACCACAUCUCAUUAUAUCUAUUAGAGUCUUUUUUUUUAAAAGUGAGUUUGAAAUAAGUUGACAAAAAGACUUUAUUUAGAAAGUAUAUUACUACAGAAAUAUACUGAAUGCAUCUGCUUUAAAAAAAUAUAUUACCAAGUCAUGGACCCCUUGUGAAGAGUGAAGAUAUAAUGAGAUAAAACUAUACAAUACAUUUCUCUUUCAUUUUUAUCUAUAAAUAUUGGUAAAUAACCCAAAGAUGUUCAUUUAUGUAAGGUUUCGUUAUUUGAGACUUUUGUGAAAUAUUAACAAAAUGUUGUUUUAUAUGGCAACUGUAUAAAGACUUAUGGAUGUGACGCACAUCAUUUUGUAAUCACUAGUAAAGUGAUGUUUUGAAGUACCUCAAUAUGAGGCAUUAAUAUCGUUUUUAUCGCGAUUUUUACUAACACCUUUUAUUGAACUUUUAACCUGGCUCAUUUAUACAAUGUGCUUCUUUGUGUUACUUAUAAAACAAAUUAUAUAUAUUAGAUUUGCAUAUAAACUUGUAAAUUAAAAUUGAUUAUUAUGUUUUAUGUAAUUAGUUAUUAUACAUAUAGCUUUUAGAACAUUAAAUUGUUAAUAUACAUGUAUUAUUUUUUCUCAUUGAUUAAGAGACUGAAAACACUUUUCUCUUUCUUUUUUUUUCAAAACUUGUUUUUGGGCAGGAAUCAAAAGUGGUUUCCAUAUGGAAGGGGGAAAAUGGCUAAAAUUCAAUCACAACACAAACAAAUUACAUUAUUUAAACAAGUUUGCCAUUUCAAGAUCUAAAGCACUAUGGGUAAUAUUGUUUGUACAUGUACUGCAAAAUGUAAAUAAGAAGAUGUCAGAUGAUUUAUUCCAUUGAUUAGAGGGAUUAUAACCAAUCAAUGAGUUUUGGUGUUUGCUUUGAAAAUACAUAUCUCUUAUUCUUACGAAAUUUAUACUUUUCCUGACCUGUUGAUUAUAUUUGUUUAAUCAACGUGUGGUUUGUCCGAUCUCAGUUUGCCAUUAGUCAAAAUUUGAUUAUGACAUAUAAUUUUCUUGCUUUCCUCUGAAACUCCCAUCGUGACAUCAUAUAAACAUGAUAAAAAGGCGACCUAUAUUUGCCCUAAUUUAUUUGAACUGUUAACCAAAAACAUAACUUCAUUUGUUCAAACCUGUUCAUGUAUAGAGUAUAAAUGAGCUAUGUAUAUAAGUUCCUUGCACAUUUCAGUUCUAAUGUAUAUAGACGUCUUUAUGUAUAUUAUGUAAAAAGAGAAUAAAUAGUGUGGACUAUUAUGUUUUAAUUUAAGGCUACAAAUUUACAGAUGUUAAAAUGUGUACAUUGUAUAAACACAAACAUGAUGAAUGGCUAGAACUGUUCCAUUAAAUCUUGAAGGUACCAUUCUACAUUGUAGCAUUGGUUACUGGUGGUGGUUACAUCAUAGUUUCCUUCUCAAACAACAUUUGCAGUAACUUACAGUUGUCUUUUGUUUGUGCUCUCUAUAUAUUUUAAAAGAGAACAGUCCAUGUGUAAUAAGUUUGCUGUAAGGGGAUAAAGGAAUUUCUCUUGAGUGGAAAAUGGCAAAAGUACUAACUCAUACUUAAAAAAUAUUUAAAAAAAAUGAGGAAUAAUAAAACCAUUUACUAAACAAUCCACUGAAAACAUAGUAAUUCAUAAUUUAUUCUUACAAAUUGAUACAAAGAUACUGUUUUCUGUAUGUCUUUUUGUUACUUUCUUCAUUGGGUUACUGUCUCUUUGGUGCAUAACCUAAUUUUCCAUUCACAUUCCUUUCAAACAGUAUUUUUAUUUAUAUUUUUUAUUCAAUGGGAUUAUAUACUUUAUCUUUAACAAAACAAAUUGAGGAAUGCACUCAUAUGUAUUCUUUGUAUGAAAAUAUAGGUAUUUAUAUUGAAAACCAAUGAUAAUUUGCUGUUGUCAAUUUGAAGUGUAAUGGUUUAAUUCAGAUAGCUCUUGCAAUAUUUAAAACAUUAAAGAUUGUACAGAGAAAAUAUAUUAAUCCCGAUUCAUAAUCCAAUUCUUAUUAGGCCUGUUUUGGGGCCUAAGACCAUUUCUUUAGUCCUUAUAAAAUAGUAUAAUUUUCUUCUAACCUAGAUUUUUUUUUCAUGCAGAGUGAGUCAUUUGAAAUGACAUUUUUAUGAUCAUGUCACAUCUGACUUCUAAUUUUUCAAAUUAUUGUUCUAUUUCAUUUCUUUAUUUCUACAGAUAUUUUAUAAAACCUGGUUACUCAAGAGUUCGAAAUUUUUGUAAUUUUACUUUAUAUUUGGUCAUUUCCGAGAUGCCAAACAGAAUAGUCCACAUUUUAUGUAUUUUGUGAUUUUAUGUGUAAAAAUUAAAAAUAUUGUAUCAAGACAAAAAUGGGGGAAAAAUGGUGAUUUUUAUCAAGGAUUUGAUUGAAAGGGAUGUUUAAGGGGGUAACAGAACACCUGAAGGAAUUAACUCUUUCAAAAAUCAAUAACAAACUAUAAUUAAAGGGAAAUGAAGCUUCUCAAUUAUCAUAAAAAAAAAUGUUUCAAAUUGCUUUAGAUCCAAUGAAAUAUUUCCUUUUUGAAUUUUAUUGAAAAUUUCUUUUCUGAAUAAAAUGUCAACCUAAAUAUUUUAUAAAUAUCUUGUUGAAAUAAAACCUGCCGAAUUUGUAUAAGGAAACAUAAGAAAUGUUUGUCAGUACAUGUAUACCCUAGACAGAAUAUAUAUUUAAAGGUAUAGGCAGAAAUCAUUCAGUUACAUAAGAGACACUUUGUUCACUUGUAUGGCAUCUAAACAAGGAUGAAUACCUCUGAAGCUUUUGGUUAAGGUGAAAAGCCUCGCCCAUCUUAUGUAUAUUAGUAAUACAGCGAUACUCUUCUUAAAUUAACCUAGUUAAACAGAAACCCAUGUAUUAAGGCUCAUAAGGGUUUAAGAACUUCAGGUUUAGUUGGGGGAUGGGUUGUAUGUCAGUUAGUUUAAAAGAAAAUUCUUUGAACGCUUCAAUGUUUUCAAAAAAAAAUUUCUGGGAAGUAUUCAACUUAGUUAGAAUUGAUUAUACAUAGCAUUUCAUUUCAUAUCCUUUGAUAUAUUUUCUAUAUGUUUACCUAAAUACAAAAAAAUGACUUCAAAUGUUUUUCAAUGAAAUAACUAACUAACAACCACUAUUCUUAUAACUUCAUUUUCUUUGAUAAAAAAGUAAGAGGUUAUUGUUUGAUAGGAUUUGUUAAGACAAUUUCUGCAGUUAUUAAUUGGGUGUAACUAUUGAGAGAAGAAAUACUAUGACAAUUUGUAAACCAACAGAUUUGCAGAGUUCUGUCCCUUUUUCAGAUGUCACUUUAAAAAAAUGAAAAUGAAGUUGAGCUUAGCCUGGUAAUUAUUUGGAAAAAAAUCUGAAAUUUUGAGUUGCAAAUAAGUUGAAAUUAAACUUCCAUUGGAACCAUCAAAUAGUUGGAAACAAGUUUUAUUGUACAUAUGAUUCAAAUAAACACUAAUGCUAGUAGCAUAGGUUUCAAAUAAAAGAUAGUAAGUUCUACUUAUUGCUUGUAAAGUUUUUUUAUGAAGAAAAAAGGAAAGAAAAAGAGAGAGUACCAAUAAGUGUUGAAGAUGUCAUUUGAAAACAUAUUAUGGUGAGCAUAGAGAAUUCAAGGAAUGAAGUCAUGCAUUGUGUCUCAUAUGCCAAUGUUUAUAACUGGUGAAAUCUUUUGUUGAGCACAAGUGAAUGUGAAUCUAGUAUUCUAAUAACAUGGUCAUCACUGUAGUUUAUAGUGGCAGUAUAUUUACUUAAUAAAACUUGCCACAAAAAU